This 217-nucleotide unclassified non-coding RNA is filed under the name Glomeraceae sp. Its description in RNAcentral is "partial contains 5.8S ribosomal RNA and internal transcribed spacer 2". The stretch from base 1 to 71 matches the Rfam family "5.8S ribosomal RNA", at positions 84 to 154 of the family's 154-position model. Lineage: Eukaryota; Fungi; Glomeromycota; Glomeromycetes; Glomerales; Glomeraceae. The record is from RNAcentral.
GUGAAUCAUCGAAUUUUUGAACGCAAAUUGCACUCUCUGGUAUUCCGGGGAGUAUGCCUGUUUGAGGGUCAGUAUAAAUCAAAAUCGAGGUGUUGCUUAUGGUGCCGGCAUUGGAAUUGGGUUAUUUUUAAUAUUAAUAAUUGUUUAAAGUGAACUAAAAUUGAUGAUACUCCGUGCAUGUCAAUAGGUACCUAAGACUUUUUUUUUAUCUGUGAGG